CAUAAUUAUAUAUUAAUAUAUAUCCUGUUAUUUAUCAUCUUUAGUUAAUAUAGUAGAUUGUAUCACUUGAUUUCUUAACUUUUAAAAAAGAUUUUAUUUAUUUAUUCAUGAGAGACACAGAAGAGAGAGAUUGGGAGAGAGAGGCAGAGACACAGGCAGAGGGAGAAGCAGGCUCCAUGCAGGGAGCCCGACAUGGGACUCGAUCCCAGGUCUCCAGGAUCAUGCCCUGGGCUGAAGGCAGCGUUAAACUGCUAAUCCUCCCGGGCUGCCCUGACUUCUUAAUUUGAACUACCCUUACAUGACUGUAAUAAACUCUACUUAGUCAUGGUGUAUAACUUAUUUUAGACAUUAUUGAAUUCCUAAGAUAUGGUAAAAAAAAAAAAAAGUUUGCAAUUAUAUUCAUGAAAGGUAUUGGUCUAUAGUUAUUGUCAUAGUUCUUUUUGUUUUUUGUUUUUGUUUUUGUUUUUGUUUCUGCUUUUUACGGUUUUUCUCUAGUUUUCUUUUUUUUUUUUGUAAUUUAAAGGUAUUUAUUUAUUUAUUUAUUUAUUUAUUUAUUUAUUCAUUCAUUCAUUCAUUCAUGAGAGACACACAGAGAAGCAGAGAUUUAGGCAGAGGAAGGAGAAGCAGGUUCCACGCAGAGAGCCCAAUGAGGACUCCAUCCCGGAACUCCAGGAUCAAGCCCCGAGCCAAAGACAGGCAAUCAACCACUGAGCCACCCAGGCAUCCCUUUGCUGGUUUCCAUUCAGGGUCAUAUAUCCUAUUGGGUCAACGGGAAGCCUCCGAACAUAGUGGUUAUGAAAAAAAACCCAGGCUGAGCCACUGAAGCAAAUGUUUAUUUUGAUGUAUACUCCCAUGAUUUCCAUGGCAGAGGGCUAGCAGAAUGCAAAUGGUAUACAGUUUCUUCAAGCUUCCAUCCAGAAGUGAUACAUCACAUCUGCUCACAUUUGCCAAAGCAUGUCAUAAAUCCACAUAUAACUUCAAAGGGGGCAGGGACCUACAUUCUUACUCUUUACCCAGAGAGAGGAGAUUUGUGAAUGCCUCUAAUGACCAUGAAAGUUAACAUUAAUGUACUCUCUACAGUGAAUAAAAAGAAUCUAUUAAUCUAUUUAUUAGGCAUUCACAUUUAAUUAUGCUGAUUUAUGAAAUUAAUAAUGUGUGCUGGGCUUGUUUGUGGGCAUAGUACUGUAUAAUCUUACAUAAAAAUGAAUAUGUACAUGACAAAAUUUAUUUUAUUAUUUCAUACGCACACAUGCAUGCACACACACACAGCAAAAGGAUAUUGCUUCUUUCUGUUUUUCCUGGCUAGGUGAAGAAAAAAAUGUUGAAUGUGUCUUUUUCCUGAAUAUAUCAUAAUUAUAAUUCUAUUUGAACAAUUUAUUAUUGGUGGUAGUUUUCUGCCUAUAAAAAUGAUCUGUUCAAACAUAUUAGGCAUUUACCACCUUUGUCUCUAGAGUGCAAUCUCUAGGAUGAAAUUCACUGUCUUUUCAUGUGGCUCAAGUGAGGCUUAUUUUACUACUUUCCAGACAAGGAAAUGGGGUGAUACUCAUAAUAAUCAAAAUAAAAUCUGGCUUAAUUAUAGCACCACUACUCCAUUCGUCUGUGCAACCUCUCUGUGAAUCUAUCAAAACCCCUGAGGGAGGAGAGGAUUGAUGACCUCUCUUAGUCAAUGCUCUUAUUCAAAGACAUGGAAGAAGUAAUAAAAAUAGCUACCAGGUAGUUUAUACACAUUUAUUUCAUUUAAGUCUUAUAACGAAGCUGUGAAGGCAUCAUUAUUAGUAACUGCUGGAAACCAAAUUUGAACACAGCCAUCUGACUACCAAGCCACACUUUCAACUACUACAUCACUCUGAUUCCCUUUUAUUCUGAUCAAAGAAUUAUUUCAUAAAUGACUCAAAUAAUGUCAUAAUUCAAUUUCCUAUAUUACAAAAGAAAGAAAAAAAAAGACUUUCCAGUUAUUUAAACCCUCACAACUUAUAAGAAUAUAGAAGAAACUCCUUGGUAGAUAUAGGCAGUAAUUUUUUGGCUGAUUUGAACCAUAUAGUUCAAUCUUUUUUUUUUUUUUUUUUUUUUUUAAAUUUUUAUUUAUUUAUGAUAGUCACAGAGAGAGAGAGAGGCAGAGACACAGCAGAGGAGAAGCAGGCUCCAUGCACCGGGAGCCCGACGUGGGAUUCGAUCCCGGGUCUCCAGGAUCGCGCCCUGGGCCAAAGGCAGGCGCCAAACCGCUGCGCCACCCAGGGAUCCCUAGUUCAAUCUUUUUAAGAAGAUUGUGACUGUGUCUUGUUUUUCUUUCAAUUUCCAGGUCUUUUGGCUUAACAUGUACUCAUACUAGUACUUCUCCUAGAUACAUUAGUUCACCUAGAGCUAAAGCUUAUAAAGAGCAAAUGUUUCUCUAAGAAAGAGGCCACAAAAAUACCAUCAAAGUAGGUGUAUGUCAGUGAAAUCACUCCAUUUCCCCUUGAAAAUAGUGAAUCACAGGGUGUUAGUGUUGAAGAUGACCAGAGACAUAUUUUAGGUCAACACCUCACACAUCAGAGAAGGAGAAACUGAGGUUUGUCAGAAGAGUCAAGAGCCCAAUCUCCCCCAAAUACCAGCUGCCUGUGUUGGAACAGCUUAAUAAGUUUUCUCAACCAGAAGUGAAGUAUCCUUUUUGUAACAGUGGGUUACUUUGGUGUUUGUAGAGACUAAAUCAUGAGACUUCAAAUAAGUGUUUCUUGGCCUAGUCAAAUCUGUGAGUUGAUGAAAGAAUACAAGCCUUUAGAGUCCUUCCACCCUAUACCCCAGGUUGCUCUGACUUCAAAAGAAGAAAAAUUGCAUCUCUCCUGAAUCACAAAUAUAUACUUUUGACUAAGUACAUCAGGAGAACUGAGCACUGGGAGAAAGUGUUUUUUCAGCUCAGAUGAGCUUGUAAUGAAUUAGAAAGAGCUCAAACCACCUAUGGCUAAAUGAAAUUAUGGACCUGCUAUAGUUUUCUGACCCAUAUCCAUCAAAAUGUCAAAAGGAUAUUAGUAGACAGCAGGCAUGCAACCUGGAAAUAAUAGGGCAACUAUUAAUCUCUUACACUGCUUGAUUCAGCUUUGGGCAAAUGGGACACAGACCAUAUAUAUGCCUAGAAUUAGAAACAUUGAUUUCCAAAGAGCAUCAUACUUGAUUUUUUUGUUUCUGGAGGAGCUAUCACCAUUUACUGUAAAAACACACCUUGGUCAAUUUCUCCAUCGUCUGGUACUCAUUUAAUCUCUUUGCCUCUAGAUUCUGCUGUGGCAAAAACAAGGACAACAGUCCUAAAAUUAAAUCCCAGUUUUCAAGCUAGCUGUGGGCUCUUGGAAAAAAAAAAAAAAAAAAAAAAAAGUCUGAGCCCUACUUUUUUUUUCAUAAGUAAGAUUAAGGGAAUAGCAGCAUUUACCUGUCAGAGCAUCUGUGAGAAAUAAUAUAGAUAUAUGUAAGGCAUAGGGAAAAUGGUCAAUAAAUAGAAACUAUGUCAUUAUUAUCCUUAUUUAAUGCUCUUGGUCGAUGGAACUGUGACAUACUCAAGAUUGAAACACUGCAAAACGAAACUGUUGAUUGAGGGAUUUCUAG
Molecule: long non-coding RNA, 3573 nt
Filed under: Canis lupus familiaris (dog)
Lineage: Eukaryota; Metazoa; Chordata; Mammalia; Carnivora; Canidae
Description: lncRNA (ENSCAFG00040000859.1)
Source: RNAcentral